RNAcentral lists this long non-coding RNA (1573 nucleotides) under Paramuricea clavata. Lineage: Eukaryota; Metazoa; Cnidaria; Anthozoa; Malacalcyonacea; Plexauridae. The record is from RNAcentral.
CUUCAUAACUAUAUGAAAUCAUAGUUGAUGUUUUAUUUCAAUUAGUUUGGUAUCAAUGACAUGUUAUGCCACUUAUCUUACACAUGCACACUAGUAAACAUGUAAGUAUACUAAAUAUUUUUAUUAGUUUGUUACUACUGAAUUUCCAUGCAUUGCUACAUUGUUAGUGUAUAUAUACUUGGUUCAUAAAACUACUUAAAACUGAGUAGUCUAAAACUACAUUUCCCUCAUAUACCUUUCAGGGCGUAAAAUUCCUGUUGUGCAGCCCUUUAUUCCAAGAGGUGCAUAUAGUCCGUGUGUUGUGACCCGACAUCGUUCACUUUCAUAAAGCAUGUCUUAGAUCUGAAAUAUUUUGACGGGAACUAACACUUUCAAGCACGCUGAGUUCAAAUCCGAAAAGUUCCCACUCCGUAGAUGGACCCGCAGUUUUCUCACAAAAUGCUAUUUUAUCUUCAAUAAUUUCACGACAAAUUUUUCAUUGUUCAACGACACGGAUCGAUGACGAUACACGAUUAUGUCACUCACCUAUUUCUAUUAACCAGUCUUCCUUUUAACAAAAGACCGGUUUUGCUCGAAUCACUUUGAGUUAUGCAAUCUUAUGCAUGUUGGACGUAAACAACAUGUCUUGUCUACAACUUUGAGAAAGUACAGAUAACGCUUUCUAAAAUCCUCAGUUCUAGAGACAUCUCUAUAAAAUCACAAGUACAUUAAUGCGAAGUCUUUUGGCUAUGCCACUGGCCUGGAAAAAUAACUCUUUUAACGCGAUCAAGGUAUUUAAACAAAAGUAGCCAACGUAACGGCAAAGACAACGCUAAAAUGAAAUAUUGUCGAUUGGUUGCUGGUAGAACACUUACGACAGGAUCAAUCUUAAAUAACCUUAAACUAUAAGAAUAAAUGUUCACAUCAAAGACAAAGAUCAGUCCCAAAAUAUAAAAUAUGCUCUGUAAACUUACGACGAAGUGGAGAAAUGCGUGCAUGAGCUUUUUAUUUGGUGAUUUCAAUGUAUAGGCUAUAUAUGGAAGCCCUCUUUCCAAUAAUAUUCGCUUAUCGCACAGUAUAACACCAAUUGAUGUAAUAGUUCAAAUGCAAUGAUAAGUUAUCUCUUGAAUUAUACAUCUCAGAAACUGUGUUGGAAAUUUAAAUGCUGAUCCAUUACAUAUAGAUUACCGUUUUACAUCGAUGUAUAAACCAUUUUGAUCGCAUGUAAGCAAUUAUUUCUCAGCCCAGAGACAUAGCCCAAAGACUUAACAUUAACGUCCUUGUAAUUUUAUAGAGAUAUAGAUCCAGAACUAAUGAUAUUAGAAGGAAUUAUCUGUACCUUCUCAAAGUUGUAGACAAGAUAUGUUGUUUACGUCCAACACGCAUAAGAUUGCAUAACUCAAAAGGAUUUGAGCAAAACCGGUCUUUUGAUAAAAGGAGAAUGGUUAAUAGAAAUUGGUUCUUUUAAGUGACAUAAUCGUGUAUCGUCAUCGAUCCGUGUCGUUGAACCACAGGCGGCCCAAUCUCGCAAGGGUCAGUAUAGACUUAUAGUAUAAAUGUAUAUUAUAUUAAUGUAUAUUAUAGUAAAAAUAUG